AUCCAGCCGACGAGUCCCAAAUUGGUCGAAACGCGCGUCCUGGAU
Schistosoma mansoni is the source of this 45-nucleotide non-coding RNA. The record is from Rfam. NCBI's taxonomy places the organism in Eukaryota, Metazoa, Platyhelminthes, Trematoda, Strigeidida, Schistosomatidae.